RNAcentral lists this ribosomal RNA (726 nucleotides) under uncultured bacterium. RNAcentral describes it as "bacterial SSU rRNA". It matches the Rfam family "Bacterial small subunit ribosomal RNA", at positions 94 to 823 of the family's 1533-position model. The record is from RNAcentral.
AGCGGCGAACGGGUGAGUAACACGUAGGUGAUCUGCCCAUCAGACGGGGACAACGAUUGGAAGCGAUCGCUAAUACCGGAUAGGACGAAAGUUUAAAGGUGCUUCUGGCACCGCUGAUGGAUGAGCCUGCGGCGCAUUAGCUAGUUGGUAGGGUAAAGGCCUACCAAGGCGACGAUGCGUAGCCGACCUGAGAGGGUGAACGGCCACACUGGGACUGAGACACGGCCCAGACUCCUACGGGAGGCAGCAGUAGGGAAUCUUCGGCAAUGGGCGAAAGCCUGACCGAGCAACGCCGCGUGAAUGAUGAAGGCCUUCGGGUUGUAAAAUUCUGUUAUAAGGGAAGAACGACUUUAGUAGGAAAUGGCUAGAGUGUGACGGUACCUUAUGAGAAAGCCACGGCUAACUACGUGCCAGCAGCCGCGGUGAUACGUAGGUGGCGAGCGUUAUCCGGAAUUAUUGGGCGUAAAGAGCGCGCAGGUGGUUGAUUAAGUCUGAUGUGAAAGCCCACGGCUUAACCGUGGAGGGUCAUUGGAAACUGGUCGACUUGAGUGCAGAAGAGGGAAGUGGAAUUCCAUGUGUAGCGGUGAAAUGCGUAGAGAUAUGGAGGAACACCAGUGGCGAAGGCGGCUUCCUGGUCUGUAACUGACACUGAGGCGCGAAAGCGUGGGGAGCAAACAGGAUUAGAUACCCUGGUAGUCCACGCCGUAAACGAUGAGUGCUAAGUGU